GACGAACGCUGGCGGCGUGCUUAACACAUGCAAGUCGAACGGAAAGGCCCUGCUUUUGUGGGGUGCUCGAGUGGCGAACGGGUGAGUAACACGUGAGUAACCUGCCCUUGACUUUGGGAUAACUUCAGGAAACUUGGGCUAAUACCGGAUAGGAGCUCCUGCUGCAUGGUGGGGGUUGGAAAGUUUCGGCGGUUGGGGAUGGACUCGCGGCUUAUCAGCUUGUUGGUGGGGUAGUGGCUUACCAAGGCUUUGACGGGUAGCCGGCCUGAGAGGGUGACCGGCCACAUUGGGACUGAGAUACGGCCCAGACUCAUACGGGAGGCAGGAGUGGGGAAUAUUGCACAAUGGGCGGAAGCCUGAUGCAGCAACGCCGCGUGCGGGAUGACGGCCUUCGGGUUGUAAACCGCUUUCGCCUGUGACGAAGCGUGAGUGACGGUAAUGGGUAAAGAAGCACCGGCUAACUACGUG
Molecule: ribosomal RNA, 468 nt
Filed under: uncultured bacterium
Lineage: Bacteria
Description: partial 16S ribosomal RNA
Rfam family: Bacterial small subunit ribosomal RNA
Source: RNAcentral